CAGAAGUGGAGUUAUGACCCAAGUUACCUCAGACUGUCUUUUUUCUUGGACAUGAUUUACAAAAACCUGGAUAAAAAAGGUUCUAAUGGAUGGAUUUCCAUGAUUGUUUUAGUGAAAGCUGAAGAACACUUCAGAGAAUCUUUUAAAACAAAAAUCAACCCGAUCUGACCACCAGAAGUGGAGUUAUGACCAAAGUUACCUCAGACUGUCUUUUUUCUUGGACAUGAUUUACAAAAACCUGGAUAAAAAAGGUUCUAAUGUAUGGAUUUCCAUGAUUGUUUUAGUGAAAGCUGAAGAACACUUCAGAGAAUCUUUUAAAACAAAAAUCAACCCGAUCUGACCACCAGAAGUGGAGUUAUGACCAAAGUUACCUCAGACUGUCUUUUUUCUUGGACAUGAUUUACAAAAACCUGGAUAAAAAAGGUUCUAAUGGAUGGAUUUCCAUGAUUGUUUUAGUGAAAGCUGAAGAAGACUUCAAAGAAUCUUUUAAAACAAAAAUCAACCCGAUCUGACCACCAGAAGUGAAGUUAUGACCCCAGUU
RNAcentral lists this long non-coding RNA (541 nucleotides) under Anthonomus grandis grandis. RNAcentral's name for it is "uncharacterized LOC126747714". The record is from RNAcentral. Lineage: Eukaryota; Metazoa; Arthropoda; Insecta; Coleoptera; Curculionidae.